CGGCCUCCUUCUACUCGUCCCACCCUUGGGAAAGCCCACGAACGUCUUCGCCGGCGUCUUCCACCUCAACCUGCAAUACCCACAAGUUAUUCGGUGCUCGCCACGGAACUAAAUUAGGUAUUGGAGAUACCAGCAUUUAUGGAGAGAUAAAGCACGUGUGGAUCUGAAUAUGGUUGGCAAGGCUCGGCGCCGCUGUGCUCAAGGCCGUGCUUCAACUCGACUCAAAUCCUCCUUUGAGACGGCAGCGGAGAGACUCCCCGAUGACCUCCUUGUUGAUAUCCUCUCGCGUGUGCCCGUCAAAUCACUCUGCCGCUUUAAGUGUGUCUCCAAGCACUGGCUCGGACUCAUCGACCACCCCGAGCACCGCAGAAAGCUACCCCAAACCCUGGUCGGGUUCUUCUGCAACAACGACGAAUCAGUUAUCCAGUUUACCAGUGUAACGGAGAGCAGCUACCCUCUGAUUGACACAUCUUUCGCAUUUCUGCCCAACUGCGGGCAGCUGGAACUUUUGGACUGCUGCGACGGCC
Long non-coding RNA from Lolium rigidum, 527 nucleotides. RefSeq lists it as uncharacterized. The transcript is spliced from 3 exons. The record is from RefSeq and is a predicted model, not a curated record. NCBI's taxonomy places the organism in Eukaryota, Viridiplantae, Streptophyta, Magnoliopsida, Poales, Poaceae.